Long non-coding RNA from Glycine soja, 626 nucleotides. RefSeq lists it as uncharacterized. NCBI's taxonomy places the organism in Eukaryota, Viridiplantae, Streptophyta, Magnoliopsida, Fabales, Fabaceae. The transcript has 3 exons. The record is from RefSeq and is a predicted model, not a curated record.
AUAACACCAGCCACUCCCCUGCAGUUUUAAAAAAAAUCACGAGACCUUUCUCCCACUUUCCCGAAACUUCUUCUUCUUCUUGCAGCAGCCACCCCCUUUCAACCCUAUCUCUUUCCCUAAAAAUUUCAUCUCUCAAUCUUCCACUCAUCUCAUUCCAUUAUUCUGAAAUUUUCAAGCUUUUGUAUCCUUGUGUCUUUCCGCACACAAGGAGGUGGCUGGAGAAAACGGAAAACACUACGCAUUUCUUUGGUUGUUCUAUUUGAUCUCUUUAAGGUUCUGUGGAAAAUAUAGCGGUUGACCUUCCAAACAGCGGUAGAAGUCAGUGAUUGCGUUAUUUAGAUACCCAGUAGUGGAGUAACCGAUUUCCUGGGAUUUGCUGACACACCCAGGAACUUGAUUAUCUUUUUGGUAGGUCCCCAUUGUGUCUGAUGGAUAUUUUGGUUGUAACUCCAGCAUAAUGCAGCUAUAGGGACCAGGGUAGUACUAGAUUUAGAGGGGACUCCUUUAUUUUGGAAAUGUAAAUGACUCUCUUUUAUAGAUAUGAUAAUGAUGAACUUAUGAUGUUUUAAGACACUUGGUGAUUAGUGAUUUUAAUCCCCUUUGUUAUUAAAUGGAUGAGAUGAGAU